UUGAACGCUGGCGGCAUGCUUUACACAUGCAAGUCGAACGGUAACAGGCCUUCGGGUGCUGACGAGUGGCGAACGGGUGAGUAAUGCAUCGGAACGUACCCAGAGGUGGGGGAUAACGCAGCGAAAGCUGUGCUAAUACCGCAUGUGAUCUGAGGAUGAAAGCGGGGGACCGCGCAGCAAUGUUUGGCCUCGCGCCUUUGGAGCGGCCGAUGUCGGAUUAGCUAGUUGGUGGGGUAAAGGCCUACCAAGGCGACGAUCCGUAGCUGGUCUGAGAGGACGACCAGCCACACUGGGACUGAGACACGGCCCAGACUCCUACGGGAGGCAGCAGUGGGGAAUUUUGGACAAUGGGCGCAAGCCUGAUCCAGCAAUGCCGCGUGCGGGAAGAAGGCCUUCGGGUUGUAAACCGCUUUUGGCAGGAACGAAACGGUGUCCGCUAAUACCGGGCGCUAAUGACGGUACCUGCAGAAUAAGCACCGGCUAACUACGUG
Molecule: ribosomal RNA, 491 nt
Filed under: uncultured bacterium
Lineage: Bacteria
Description: partial 16S ribosomal RNA
Rfam family: Bacterial small subunit ribosomal RNA
Source: RNAcentral